RNAcentral lists this ribosomal RNA (622 nucleotides) under Tulasnellaceae sp. 7 MB-2012. Its description in RNAcentral is "eukaryotic LSU rRNA". The stretch from base 497 to 622 matches the Rfam family "Eukaryotic large subunit ribosomal RNA", at positions 1 to 127 of the family's 3401-position model. Lineage: Eukaryota; Fungi; Basidiomycota; Agaricomycetes; Cantharellales; Tulasnellaceae. The record is from RNAcentral.
GUUAAGGCGCUCUGGCCGAGGAUAAAACCGCCGCCCCCCUGUGUUACCCCCUCCGGGGCACACGUUAAAGACCGCUCCGCCUUUGUGAGUCCUAAACCGKUGCGAAACGAAACCACAACCGGUAGCAUUGGAUCCCUUGGCACGUCGUUCGAUGAAGACCGUUGCAAAUUGCGAUAAAGUGAUGUGAUGCGCAAGUCCACCACUUAUACGUGAAUCAUCGAGUUGUUGAACGCACUGCACCGCGCCCUAAACCGGCUGCGGUAUGCCCCUUUGAGCGUCGUUGAACCGUUCGYGAGCCCGGGAUUUGCGUCCCGGCACUCCGAGUUCGGAGUCCUCGGUCCCCCGGACCGCGUUCUCCAAGAUCCAGCACGCCCGCGCCCGCACGGGGCCUCUCAUGCUUGAGUGUGGAGGACCCGCGCGGAGUCCGCGGCGUCGGACGGCGACCUGAGCGUCCGUCGGCAAGCCGCCCUCCUCCGGGGGGGACAGCUACAGAUCACGACCUCAUCGGGGUAGGACGACCCGCUAGACUUAAGCAUAUUAAUCAGCGGAGGAAAAGAAACUAACCAGGAUUCCCUCAGUAACUGCGAGUGAAGCGGGAUCAGCUCAAUGUGUGAAUCUGGCG